Gasterosteus aculeatus aculeatus (three-spined stickleback) is the source of this 1914-nucleotide long non-coding RNA. The record is from Ensembl. Lineage: Eukaryota; Metazoa; Chordata; Actinopteri; Perciformes; Gasterosteidae.
AUGAAGCGAUACGAACUGAUACGAAAUGAUACGGAGUGAUAUGAAGCGAUAUGAAGCGAUAUGAAGCGGAUUCACACUGCGGUCCAACCUUUGUGCGCGCCGGGUGAAGGCUUGGCAGCACUGAUGCGAUUGUUGACCUCUGGCUCUCGUAACCUCACCACAACAGGCACUUAUAUCGGGGAGCUGGUAAAAGUUUGACGUGGGAAGAUUAAAUGAAAGCACCAAGGUACAUUUUCACCCCCCCCCUUCCUCUUUCUCUCUUUUUGUUUGGCUUCAGUCGAGAAAGUGGACUCACCUGUGUGCGAGUGCACUAUUAGGCCAGCAGAGAUAUUGGCGUUUUGAGUCCGCCGGCUCGAUGAAUCUCAGCAUCAACCAACGAUUGUUUGGAAAAAAACGGGGGGGAAAAAAAAGCAAAUAAAAGCAAACAAAAGCAAACCGCGGCUUUCGAGUCCCCUCCUCCCUUUUCUGCACGCACCAACCUGACCCAGAGUGCCGAGGGGCCGCUCGCUCAUCAAGCUGACCGUAAUACUCUGAAUCAGCCCCUCUCGCUCAGCGAUUCCACUCAUUUCCCUCCCUGGCCUCCCACCCCCCCUCCCUCCCUCCCACCUCCCAGUUUCUUUACUUGGCUCGUUCUCUCCUGCCAUCACUCCCACUUAAACCCGGCACGCAGGAGGCCUGAGAGAGCGGAUUGAUUUCCAGUAAGGCGAUGUGUCUGGAGCGGCGUUCUGGACCUCUCCGGAUACGUUCAUCCUCCUUUAUUGCUCCCUAAUCUCGAGGGGCGACCGCGUCUGCUUCUGAGGCUUCGCUGCAGACUCACACACCAAACACAUAAAAGGCGUACAAACAAAAACACGCGCUGGACGGUGCUCAGAUGAGGCCCGCGCUUAAUAGCUAAGCGUGGUCAUCGCCUCGUCUGUCUUAAUCGACCUCGGUCUUGAAUAAAUAAGCAUUUCAUUCCUGGCAAUGUGUCGUACCUGUAACAGCAUUAAUGCUGUCCAUGAACACCCCCCCCUCACAGGUUUUUCCCGAUAAAUGCCGUGGCAGCGGAAACGUUGCUUGUAUUCAGACCGCUGGCGGCAUUGUGAUUACAAGGAGCGUCCGAGCAGAAGGCAGGCAGAGGAUUUACCCACUGAUGGUUCUAUUGCCUCGAUCGACCCAAACAGCCUCCGUCUAUUCUUGGCAUGGUUCUGUCUGCCGUUUCCUCCGGGUCCGCGGGUUUGGAGGAGAGUCUGGCGGAGGUCCUGAGGUUUCAUUAUACACACCCUGAGCAACAAUUACAGAGAAGGCGGAACAACAAGUUGUUGAAUAUGUUGAUUGCCUCUCAGAUUUAUGUAUUUAAAAAAUGAAUUACAUUGUGAAAUGUUAUUAAAGAAUAUUCUCUAAGACAAGUUAACAGUUUAAUAUGUGGUUGUUUGUUUGACUGACCGACCAUCCGUAGACAUCCGUAUGAAAGGAAAUGUUUUGCAGUGUUGCAUAGUUAAUUAUUUAAUAAUAAGUGUCGGAUCAUUUUUGUGGGUUAAAUUAUUUACUAAUUGGUUUUUUAUUUUGGCACUAUGUUGAAAAGCAGCAAAAAACUUCUUGAAUGCUUGAAAAUCCUCUGCAACAAUGAAUCAAUUUCCACUAUAAAAAUAGUGUAAAGAAAAAAACAUUUCCACAGUGUUAGAAAAAACUAAAAGAGUGCCGCUGCUAAAAUCCAGACGUGGCAGACAAACCCUCGCUAGGACUCCACGCGGAAAGUGACGAGGCCGUCACCCACUGUCACUGGAUCUGAUCCUCCCGGCGGCGGUUUGAGUGGCGACGCUCGGCCUCAGCCUCUCCAUGAUGACGAGAGAUGGACGGAUGACAGCCACUGACAGGGAGGGUCUCAGCCUAUUUGUCCCUCCGUCUCCGGGGAAAGACGGAGGACCCUUCAAC